This 31-nucleotide non-coding RNA is filed under the name Rattus norvegicus (Norway rat). Lineage: Eukaryota; Metazoa; Chordata; Mammalia; Rodentia; Muridae. The record is from RNAcentral.
UAGGAUGUGUCACAUUGCAAAAGAAUGUAGU